UGGGGAAUUUUGGACAAUGGGGGCAACCCUGAUCCAGCAAUGCCGCGUGUGUGAAGAAGGCCUUCGGGUUGUAAAGCACUUUUGUCCGGAAAGAAACGUCGUGGUUAAUACCCGUGGCGGCUGACGGUACCGGAAGAAUAAGCACCGGCUAACUACGUGCCAGCAGCCGCGGUAAUACGUAGGGUGCAAGCGUUAAUCGGAAUUACUGGGCGUAAAGCGUGCGCAGGCGGUCCGCUAAGACAGAUGUGAAAUCCCCGGGCUUAACCUGGGAACUGCAUUUGUGACUGGCGGGCUAGAGUAUGGCAGAGGGGGGUAGAAUUCCACGUGUAGCAGUGAAAUGCGUAGAGAUGUGGAGGAAUACCGAUGGCGAAGGCAGCCCCCUGGGCCAAUACUGACGCUCAUGCACGAAAGCGUGGGGAGCAAACAGGAUUAGAUACCCUGGUAGUCCACGCCCUAAACGAUGUCAACUAGUUGUCGGGUCUUCAUUGACUUGGUAACGUAGCUAACGCGUGAAGUUGACCGCCUGGGGAGUACGGUCGCAAGAUUAAAAACUCAAA
Molecule: ribosomal RNA, 557 nt
Filed under: uncultured bacterium
Lineage: Bacteria
Description: partial 16S ribosomal RNA
Rfam family: Bacterial small subunit ribosomal RNA
Source: RNAcentral